UGUGGACGUCCAUGACAGUUUAGCUGCUGAAGCUGAACAUGGUGAUGCUUCUAGAAAGGAAAGGUCCUCAGUUCAAGGUGUAGAACAGGUCUAUAUUGAGAUGCAUUUCUUUGGCGUAAUACUAGACAACAUUGAAAGUUGAAGUUUUUAGAAUAAAAAAUAUAUUUCAUUAACAUUGUAUACAUUUCUUGUUUAAUAUUUGGUGAUGAUAUAAUUUGAUUGUAGUAUAAACUGUCAUGUAAUAUGAUUUUGUAAGCCGAGUAGACUAAAUACUGAAAUGAUAUUUUUGAGUAAUUAAUAAAAAAUUAUUUUGUUGUA
Long non-coding RNA from Humulus lupulus (European hop), 318 nucleotides. RefSeq lists it as uncharacterized. The record is from RefSeq and is a predicted model, not a curated record. NCBI's taxonomy places the organism in Eukaryota, Viridiplantae, Streptophyta, Magnoliopsida, Rosales, Cannabaceae. The transcript has 2 exons.